GUGUGUUAGUGUCUCAGGUCUUUUGCGGGUGAAGCACCUGGGAUCGUUUGCGCGGCCCAAUUUGUACUCGAGCGUUCCUGUCCGUGCGAAUACGCAGUAGCAAUCAGGCGUCGUCUCUGCUGAGGACCGAAAUGACGGAACAGGUGUCCAUGGAAUAACAUGCGAACCAGAAUUUAUCGCAAGUCGGGUAUGUGGAGUGCUCGAACUUACGCAUAAAUUUUCUCAUUAGUCAUGAUCGAUUGCAUUUACUGGGGGUGCGUAACAGGAAAAAGUCGCCGACGAACUGUGGCGCGAGAUAGGUCGUAAUUGGCCACACUUCGCCAGUGUGCUUGAAAGAUGCCAUGCUGUUUUUUUCGGAGGUCGGGCGCUGAACUGCCAUUACCGAUGUGCGUGGUCCAUAAGAAACUACGGAAUAGAAGACAAUGGCACACCAUGUAUC
Long non-coding RNA from Ornithodoros turicata, 439 nucleotides. RefSeq lists it as uncharacterized. The transcript has 3 exons. The record is from RefSeq and is a predicted model, not a curated record. NCBI's taxonomy places the organism in Eukaryota, Metazoa, Arthropoda, Arachnida, Ixodida, Argasidae.